This 468-nucleotide ribosomal RNA is filed under the name uncultured bacterium. Its description in RNAcentral is "partial 16S ribosomal RNA". It matches the Rfam family "Bacterial small subunit ribosomal RNA", at positions 28 to 507 of the family's 1533-position model. The record is from RNAcentral.
GACGAACGCUGGUGGCGUGCUUAACACAUGCAAGUCGAACGGAAAGGCCCUGCUUUUGUGGGGUGCUCGAGUGGCGAACGGGUGAGUAACACGUGAGUAACCUGCCCUUGACUUUGGGAUAACUUCAGGAAACUGGGGCUAAUACCGGAUAGGAGCUCCUGCUGCAUGGUGGGGGUUGGAAAGUUUCGGCGGUUGGGGAUGGACUCGCGGCUUAUCAGCUUGUUGGUGGGGUAGUGGCUUACCAAGGCUUUGACGGGUAGCCGGCCUGAGAGGGUGACCGGCCACAUUGGGACUGAGAUACGGCCCAGACUCCUACGGGAGGCAGCAGUGGGGAAUAUUGCACAAUGGGCGGAAGCCUGAUGCAGCAACGCCGCGUGCGGGAUGACGGCUUUCGGGUUGUAAACCGCUUUCGCCUGUGACGAAGCGUGAGUGACGGUAAUGGGUAAAGAAGCACCGGCUAACUACGUG